RNAcentral lists this ribosomal RNA (477 nucleotides) under uncultured organism. Its description in RNAcentral is "partial 16S ribosomal RNA". It matches the Rfam family "Bacterial small subunit ribosomal RNA", at positions 331 to 799 of the family's 1533-position model. The record is from RNAcentral.
GUACACUCCUGCGGGAGGCAGCAGUGGGGAAUUUUGGACAAUGGGCGAAAGCCUGAUCCAGCAAUGCCGCGUGAGUGAAGAAGGCCUUCGGGUUGUAAAGCUCUUUUGUCAGGGAAGAAACGGUGAGAGCUAAUAUCUUUUGCUAAUGACGGUACCUGAAGAAUAAGCACCGGCUAACUACGUGCCAGCAGCCGCGGUAAUACGUAGGGUGCAAGCGUUAAUCGGAAUUACUGGGCGUAAAGCGUGCGCAGGCGGUUUUGUAAGUCUGAUGUGAAAUCCCCGGGCUCAACCUGGGAAUUGCAUUGGAGACUGCAAGGCUAGAAUCUGGCAGAGGGGGGUAGAAUUCCACGUGUAGCAGUGAAAUGCGUAGAUAUGUGGAGGAACACCGAUGGCGAAGGCAGCCCCCUGGGUCAAGAUUGACGCUCAUGCACGAAAGCGUGGGGAGCAAACAGGAUUAGAUACCCGUGUAGUCCCAUG